RNAcentral lists this ribosomal RNA (448 nucleotides) under uncultured bacterium. RNAcentral describes it as "SSU rRNA". It matches the Rfam family "Bacterial small subunit ribosomal RNA", at positions 26 to 518 of the family's 1533-position model. The record is from RNAcentral.
AGAGCGAACGCUGGCGGCAGGCCUAACACAUGCAAGUCGAGCGCCCGUAGCAAUACGGGAGCGGCAGACGGGAUAGUAACACGUGGGAACGCGCCCUUCGGUUCGGAAUAACUCAGGGAAACUUGAGCUAAUACCGAAUACGCCCUUACGGGGAAAGAUUUAUUGCCGAAGGAACGGCCCGCGUCCGAUUAGCUAGUUGGUGAGGUAAUGGCUCACCAAGGCUACGAUCGGUAGCUGGUCUGAGAGGAUGACCAGCAUCACUGGGACCGAGACACGGCCCAGACUCCUACGGGAGGCAGCAGUGGGGAAUAUUGGACAAUGGGCGCAAGCCUGAUCCAGCCAUGCCGCGUGGAUGAUGAAGGCCUUAGGGUUGUAAAGUCCUUUUAACGGGGAAGAUAAUGACGGUACCCGUAGAAUAAGCCCCGGCUAACUUCGUGCCAGCAGCCGC